GAUGAGGUGACCGAGUGGUUAAGGUGUUGGACUACUGAUCAAUUGUGUUCUGCAUGCGUAGGUUCAAAUCCCAUCCUUGUUG
Molecule: transfer RNA, 82 nt
Filed under: Danio rerio (zebrafish)
Lineage: Eukaryota; Metazoa; Chordata; Actinopteri; Cypriniformes; Danionidae
Rfam family: tRNA
About the family: Transfer RNA (tRNA) molecules are approximately 80 nucleotides in length. Their secondary structure includes four short double-helical elements and three loops (D, anti-codon, and T loops).
Source: Rfam by way of RNAcentral